This 272-nucleotide long non-coding RNA is filed under the name Brassica rapa (field mustard). Its description in RNAcentral is "long non-coding RNA (BRAP_LNC004673)". The record is from RNAcentral. Lineage: Eukaryota; Viridiplantae; Streptophyta; Magnoliopsida; Brassicales; Brassicaceae.
GGAGCGCAGCAUUGAUAGGGAUAGGAGAAGGGAGAGGGAAGGACGAGAUAGAGACAAUGAAAGAGGUGGGAGCGUCGAUAGGGAAAGGAGAAGGGAGAGGGAAGGAGAUUAUUUACGAGACAGAGACAAUAGAAGGGGUAGGAGUAGAGACAGAACCAGAUAUGAUAGCCGAGAGAGGAUGAGAGAAAAGGAAAGGGAGAGUGACAAAGAUAGAGAAAUCCAGGCUGAUAAGGAGAAGUAUAAAAGUGUUGAAGUGGACAACGGUGAAAGGU